GUGGGGAAUAUUGGGCAAUGGGCGAAAGCCUGACCCAGCAACGCCGCGUGAGGGAAGAAGGUUUUCGGAUUGUAAACCUCUGUCCUAAAGGACGAAGGAAGUGACGGUACUUUAGGAGGAAGCCCCGGCUAACUACGUGCCAGCAGCCGCGGUAAUACGUAGGGGGCGAGCGUUGUCCGGAAUGACUGGGCGUAAAGGGCGUGUAGGCGGCGGCGUAAGUCCGGAGUGAAAGUCCACAUUUCAAGUGUGGAAUUGCUUUGGAUACUGCGAAGCUUGAGUACAGCAGAGGUAAGCGGAAUUCCCGGUGUAGCGGUGAAAUGCGUAGAGAUCGGGAGGAACACCAGUGGCGAAGGCGGCUUACUGGGCUGAUACUGACGCUGAGGCGCGAAAGCGUGGGGAGCGAACAGG
Molecule: ribosomal RNA, 408 nt
Filed under: uncultured rumen bacterium
Lineage: Bacteria
Description: bacterial SSU rRNA
Rfam family: Bacterial small subunit ribosomal RNA
Source: RNAcentral